Molecule: long non-coding RNA, 315 nt
Filed under: Nicotiana benthamiana
Lineage: Eukaryota; Viridiplantae; Streptophyta; Magnoliopsida; Solanales; Solanaceae
Description: long non-coding RNA (NBEN_LNC032623)
Source: RNAcentral
AGGUUCAUCUAUACUAUUGGAUACUACUGCAAAUUUGUUACUCACAGUUAUGCGUGACAGAGGGGGAAAGUUGAUACUGUUGAGUUCCGGGCUAUGUGUUUGCUUUCCUUUGUCAUUGCUCUUAUCACUCCUCUGGUUCUGGCCUGAUUUGGAUUGCUGCUGAAGUUCAGUAGGUUCCCUUGUUUGGGGACUGUCUCUGCAUAACAGGUCCUUUAGUUCUCCACUCCUGGACUGGUUUGGGCUUCCACACUUGUGUAGGCUGCUUAGGUAACUGCUUUUGUAGGCUUGCACAAUUGUGUCCAAUUGUUUGACAUU